GACAGCUCCCUUUCGACCCCUAGCCUGGGAGCCCCCAUAUGCUGUGGGUGGGGCCCUAAAAAGACAAGAAAAAAAAGAAUGAAUAUUCUGGAUGGGGAGGCAGGCAUUAGAGGCAUUGGCAAGUAAAAGCAUAAAUACUGUGUAAUCUGGAAGGUGUCAGGUAGUGAAAAAACAACACUAGAGGGAGAGAAAGCUCAGGACAGCAGGAAGGGCCAGGGAGGCUGGUGUGGGCUGGGGGCGGCUGUUGGGGUGAGGAGGCCAGAGCGUCAGCAUUGCUUGCCCCCUGCUAUGAGGGUUCUGAAAAUAGAUUGCCUGAGCGAGUGUAGACAAGAGUUCUUAGCAACUUUUGGUUGACUAUGAAGGAUGGAGGCAAAAAUGGUAAAUGUGAAAACACAGCAGGUAAGGGAACAAAUAUUUAAGUGAAAGGAACCCACAUCCCGGGAGACAGAACAAGGUCCGGCUUUCCCGUGAGACGAGUGUCUGGGAGUCUGGCUUCCGAUCGGGAGCCGGGAGCGCAGGUGCCUUCCUCCCGCUGCACCUCCUGGGCUCCUCCGUGGCACGGGGCUGAUAGGACACCUCUCCAAGGCGCGGCCCUCAAGGAUUGGCCCCCAAGGAUUGGCACUAGUGCUUUUGACUUGGUGGUGAAACGCCUUCGUUUGUAGAAACAGCCGACACUGUCGAGCCGUGUGAUAAAAGUCAAUCGAGCCAAGCCCAGGGGUCGGCGCCACCCUCUCGGGGUCAAAAGUCCUAUGUAUUGUUCCCCCGCGCAGGGUCCCAUUUCCUCGGUCAAAGGUCGCCGCAGUGGUCCCCGCCGCCAGUCUGCGGUGACUAUUUGAAACUCAAGGGAAGGCAGAUGUUUUCUGUGGUCCGGGAGCCGUGUGCGUGAACGAAAUUGAAGUCCCUGCGACGAGACAAACGGAUUGUGUGGCCUGGGUGUGCGUCGGAGACAAACAGCACCCCAGAUUCCCAGAGACGCCCUUCCUUUUUCGGCCCAGUUCCUCUGCCUGGUGUCUCGGGUGACGUGCAGCUGGCAGGUGCUGUCACCUGCCAUUGGCGAUUAUGGGGCUUUUCAGCCCAGAGCGCCCGGGAGAGCUCUUAGCAGGAUAUUGCCAUUCCGAGAUUCCGUGCUCACAUCUCCACUUGAAACCCAACGGAAUCCCAUUAAUUAUCACUUCAGGUAGUAAAUCGGUUUCUCAUAUGUGAAAGGAAUGUGGCGACUCGAGUCUCUCUUUUUGUUGGGGAUCGCCAGAGGGUUCUUACAGGUGGUAUUGAACUCAUAAGAAUAAUUUCAGCACCGCUGCAACAACAAAGCAUGUUGUAAAUGUGUAACCUUGCUUUUCUUAAAAAGCCCCGAAUAACUGGGACGUCGUCUCGGGGGCUUAAGUGUGAGAGCUCUUCCUCCCCCCAGCUCCCUCCAACGUUCAAAGCCCGUAUUCAGUCCCCAGCUUUAAAGUCAAGGCGAGGUGCUGAUGGACUGUGCUGACGUCGUUGUGCUAAUGACAAGACGCUGGGACUUCAUUGUCAGAGGGUCGCUUAUCAUCCCUGUGUAUUUAGUCGGCUCUGCCAAGUCUGAAUUAUACUUUUUAUACAUUGUGGUUAGAGUCAGUCAUUUAAAGUGCUUCAGUGUUGAAACAACAUUUUUUUUACAAGUCUUUUAGCUGUAGUUCAAGAGAAAAAAAAAGUCUUCUACAGCAUCAUUAAACAGGGUUCAAAGUAAGUCCUUGCUGAAAGAUGUGAAGUUUGAGCUCUUAGGAAAUGAAAUCUUUGAUCUCCAAAAUGAUGAGUGAAAAUAUUUUUGUCCACAGGCCCAUUUUUAUCUCGGGGUAAAGAAAGUAAUACAAUUUAAUCUACAUAAUACUUCCCCUUCUGAGGCCUCAACUCGGCCUCUGGCCCUAGGGUCCAGAAGUGUCCCCUGACGUUGGCUGAAGGAAGAAACUGGAGACAGGCUUAUCUGUCAAGGCAUCAGAGCGCGGUGGCUGCAUAUGCAGAAGGGCCUUGUUUACAUGGUGCCACCAUCAUGUUUCAAAGAUGCAACAUUCUCAGGGCUUUUUUUUUUUUUUUUUUUUCGGUGAAAAUAAAAAAUUAAGAUAGAAAUGAAUGACCACGAGUCAUUAGACUGAGCUGUGGAAGCACCAGUCACCCCCACCCCACCCCCAAGCCAUCGUGUGACUGUAAAAAUACAGCCUUUGGGAUAAGAAAGGAAAGUAAAUGCUAGCCUGGUCAGCACACGGGCUGAACAAACUCAAGACUGGCCUGCCAGAAAAAGAAGAGCAAAACCAGAGUGGGGACCAGACGCCCCAGCUGUCCUUCAAGUUCAUGGAUCUGAUCACCAUCUCUGUCUCUUCUUUAAUUUCGUUUGCUUCAGAUGCGUUAUAAAGCCGUAUGUGUUUAUUUACUCGAAGCCAGACCCUAUUCUAGGCGCUGGGCUAUAGUAAUGAACAAAAGCAAGCCAAAUUUUUCUACUUUUUUUGCCUUACGGCUUUAUUUUUGAACUGGUUCGUCCUACAUCACGUCAUAGAGACAUUCUCUAAACCCUUCUAAAUGGUUUUAAGUUUUGCGUUCACAUUGGGGUCAUGAAUUCACCGGGAAUGCAUUUGUGCGUUGUGUCUGAGGUAGGAGUUCAGUCCCCCCCACCAUAUGCUUACUAGGCAUUAGCAUGGCAGACCACGUGCUUUCACUUGAGUCACACAUUGCCGUUCUGUAUUUUCAUGGGUGUCUUCGGAACAACUGGUCCAAUGGCUUCUACUCCACUGGUUGAAUGUCUAUUCCUGGCCCACUAUCACACUGCAUUAAUUCCUCAUGCAGAAGCUCCCGGGCCAGGGAUUGAAUCCAAGCCACAGUUAUGACCUAUGCUGCAGCUGCAGCAAUGCCAGAUCGUUAAUCCACUGCCCUGGGCCGGGACGAAACCCACCUUCCCACAGCGACCUGAACCUGCUGCAGGUGGACCCUUAACCAGGAAUAACUGCCCCAUGCAGAUUCCUGAAGACUACAUCACGAAGACUGUCGGAGGCAGAGACAAUAAGGGCUGCAGCCUGUAGCCCGUCUGGUCCCCUAGUCUGCUGGUGUCUCCCGGCCCUCAUAGGAAGCCAUCCCAGCGCCCUGUCAGCUAAUCCAGAAGGGGAGGAUUUUGAUUUCCUCGAAGCUGACUCAGUUCAUCCUCUUCUCCAUGCCUGGUGCCCUGGCUGGCACAUGGUAGGUGCCCAAAAAUGCUUGACGAGUCCAAGGCGGUAUAUGACGAUUGCCACAAGAGCAUUGCCAUCGAGACACUGGGGACAUUCACCUUCAUCUCCUGCCACGGGCAUCUGGAGAGGUCCAGAAACACCCACUGCGGAUUUGCAGCAUUAAGGAAAGCUUUGUGGAAAGCAGGGCACUGAAAGAGCUUCUCGAGCAGGGGACUCAAUCUCUCCGAGUCUCAGCUUCCUUAAUCCGCCCUUUUAACCUCUCUCCUGCUUGCGGAAUUCAGGAAACACGCAUCCCUUUUCUGAGUACAUGCCUCCUCAAAUUCACGGAAAUAAUCCAGGCAUCGAUUGUGAGGAGGUAGCGCACCCCCAGGGCACAUGAGCGUCACGGCGCUGACCACAGAGACACACAUCACGCAUCCUAAGAUGACUUCCUGGCGCUGUCUGGGUGGUAGCACUGGAGGGAACCAUUGCCUUUUAGAGGAAAGUUACAGUAAAUGUCCCCAUAUGAAUGAUCACGGGAGGGACGUGCGUAAGCCUGGUGUUACUUGGCAGGACUAUGCUGCCUGACUCCUACACCAGACCCGCCCCCUCACUUGUUCCUUCGCUUGAACAUUUAGGAGGAAGGGGCAGCGUUCCCUUGGGCUCGCAUUGUGGCCAAAGCGAGCCCCAUCACGCCCAGCAAAUAUUUCAACAGUCACAGAGCAGCGGGAGAGACCAGCGUAAAGGCAGCCUGCUCCGGACCUCGGCGCCUUCCAGCAGCUUGACCCUGGAAUCGACAGCACUGCCCUGUUGGAAAUCCAUCUGCUAAUUUCAUGGACCUGGAUUCUGGCGCGGCGGGUGGUCAGUUGAGCUCGAAGCGAGCAGAGAGGACCAGAGGUUCUAAAGGGAACCAUGCGUCAGCGCGCGGCCCCACGUGCGCAGACAUGAAACCCCUCCGACAGCACCCGAGAGGCGUAUUUUUCAGCGCAGAAGCCGCAGAAAGCAGGACCCGGCUCCCACCCCUUCUUUAUAUUCCAAUGAGAUUUGCUAGUUUAACCAGGGCUGCCGUACAGAAGCUCUUGUGGUUCAUGUUAUAUUAAUAGUGUGGCCUGAUUAUCAAAAGCCAUUACUCUUGGUUAUCUUGCCGCGGCUGGACGAGCUGCUAUAAGUCAGAGUGACUGCCCACCCAGCGUUUGCUCCCUGCUUAUGAUAACAGGAUUCUUAAUGCAAAAGUGCAUUUGUAAAAUUAUUGCCUUUUGCAGAUCAGAUUGGUUAUAAAUGAGAUGCGAUCACACAACUGUUUUUCCCUGUAUAAAAAAAUUAAAUCCAUAAAUUACACGUCGGUUCCCUCCAUGGUCCCGGCUUCAUGAGGGUCAGUUUCCUUGUGGUCAAACUCGGAGGUAUGGCUUUCAAAGCAGAUGGGUUGUGAGCUGAGUCCUGGCCGGGGGCACAGACUUUUCUUCCGGCCUGUCUUCUCCUGUUCUUUGAUGUAGUCUUCUGCAGGCCUGAUUGCGGCCUUGUGGAUCCGGCUCCCCCCCACCCCCGCUUUUUUCUUCCCCUGCUGGUGGAGGGGUGCUUUGUUUAGGUUAGUUCUGUUUCUUGAACGCAGUCAUGAUAACGGAUCGGAUGCCGUGCCGCUUCCGCAUGGAUGCAAACCCCCGUCUCCGGCUCUUUGCCGAACUCGCAUGGCUUGGAGGGGCGGCCUUCACAGCUCCUCGGGGUUCUUGCCACUGGCCGACUUUUUAAUUCUACCCUCCCUUGCUCUGACACCUUCACAGGCUCAGGCUUUGGAUGGAAGAAAAGGCAAGGGGAGAGCCACUCCAAUGAAGUAUAAGGACUCAGUUACAGUGCUGGCUCAUCUCCUUCUCCGUAGGUUUCCCCAUUCACGUUCCUCCAACCGGGAGCAAGAGACAGGGCUCCCCUCGGGGCGACGUGAGGGCGUCUCUCACUGCGCAUCUUUCCAAGCUCCCAAGUUCCUCUAUCAACAAACAUAUCAAGGGGUGAAGCGACAGGACUCUCUCUCCUCCUAUGCGCUUCCCAUCUGAACAGCGUUUUCGCAUUCUUGAUUGUUAUAGACAGUGAAGCUUUUCAGCCCUAAUUCAUUAAAAACAUAGAUUCAUGACAAGUUGUUUGAAAUGUGGUCCCUUAAGCUUUUUCCGUCUUUUAGAAACUGUUUCAUAUCACUAUCUAAGAAGAAAAGCCAGCCAAGAUUUACAUUUUAAUUUAGUUAACCAAAUAGUUCAGCCUAUGUUCUCCAAAGACAAAGACUGGCCUGUACGUGGGCGGAUUUUCCUGUAUUUUAUUGCUGUAAUUUGCAUGAGAAACACCAGAUCCUGUAUAAUUGUUGCUUUGUUGUUGUGAUCCGAGUAGCUGUUUCCAAUGUCAAUAAUUAUAACUUGAAAUGAAAUUUAGUAGCAGUGAGGGGGUGGAGAGUGGAGGCGACUGCCAGCCAGUCAGGCUUUCACAUCAAACUAACCACAGUCUAGCCUCCUAAUGCGAUGCGAGCAGCCACCAGGCUGCCAGCAAACCUCCACACAAAG
Sus scrofa (pig) is the source of this 5701-nucleotide non-coding RNA. The record is from RefSeq and is a predicted model, not a curated record. Lineage: Eukaryota; Metazoa; Chordata; Mammalia; Artiodactyla; Suidae.